Molecule: long non-coding RNA, 900 nt
Filed under: Ananas comosus (pineapple)
Lineage: Eukaryota; Viridiplantae; Streptophyta; Magnoliopsida; Poales; Bromeliaceae
Description: long non-coding RNA (ACOM_LNC032656)
Source: RNAcentral
AUUUUAAAUCUCGAUUCUCGGGAUGCGAGCCAUUGGUCGGAACACUAUCUACGACCUUUCAGAAAAUCUGAAAAAACUCAGAACACAGAUCAAACACUCGAACCUUGCAAUUUGCAAAGGUCGAGUGUGUUACAUUGUUAGGGCUGGCGAGGGCGCUAGGGCCUAAACGGGGGAGUCUGUGACACCCUAAUAGUUCCACAUCGGAUGGGAAUGGGGUUGUCAUUGGGUUUAUAAGAAGACUCCGUCCUAGUAAUAAUAACUGGGCUUAAGCAUUUUGGGACGGUGGUUGGGCCCAAAGAGUUAUUGUUGCUAGCGGGCUGGGUCGUUAUACACACUAUAUACCUAGCGACCCCACAUAUAGCAACACUUUUUAAAAGUGUCGGUAAUUUAGCUACCAGCAUUUUUUUGGACCUGUACCAAUAUUUAAAAGUGUCGCUAUAUACCGUUUUUAUUAAAGUGGCACUCUACUUUCUCAAAUCCUGUAGCACCCUCAUCAUUGUCGUUGUCCACGGCCACGCCCUUCGUCACAACCUCAUCUGUGCUACAUUCGAGCUUGCGUUGUCGCCGCCUAAGUCGAUAGAGGUGUAGAUGAGGUAGAAUACAAAAGCGUGGGGUCGAUGUAGGGGUAGUGGAGGAAGAGAGGGAGGAAGUGGGAGGAAAAAGACAGGAAGGGACGACGAGAAGGAGGGAGACGAAGAGGGAGGAGAAAAACUAACGAGAAAGAGAAGGGAGAGAAAGAGAAAUAAGAAUAUUUUGACUAAUUUACUAAAAAUUCAAAUCUAUUCUGUAAAAUAUAAAAAAUAAUUUAUUUUUAUAAAAAUAUAAAAUUGAUGAAUUUUUUUUAUGCAAAUUGGUCUUUCCUCUUUUUAUUAUACCAACACUUAUUUUCUAAUACAUAAU